RNAcentral lists this long non-coding RNA (2256 nucleotides) under Homo sapiens (human). Its description in RNAcentral is "non-protein coding TRHDE-AS1:15". The record is from RNAcentral. Lineage: Eukaryota; Metazoa; Chordata; Mammalia; Primates; Hominidae.
AGGCCACUUAUCGCUGGCUCUGGCCUUGGCAACCUCCACCCCCGUCCCGGUCCUCUCAGCCUAUCUCUGGAAACCACUCUUUUCACUCCGAAUCUCAACUUGAAGUUUGGGGAAACUUGACGCAGCCAAAGCCCAUCCUCUGCUCUGCACCUGGCAGGAGACUAAUAGUCAGGGAAGAUGGGCAUGUUGUGGGUGGGGGUGGAGAACGGUGUGUCCCUGACCUGCCCUGACAUGCUAACCUGGAUGCGCUGUUGUCUUGGCCUUCAGCGCCACGUAUUUUCCCUCGACAGUAACUUGGCAAGCUUUUCAUGUCACUCUGGCAUCGCUCAGAUUAUCAGCUACCCUUCAGAAAAAGAGCCCUGCGUUUCGAUGGCUAAGGAACUCUGACAGGAAGAGGAGAGGUCCCGACUAGAGGAGGGGGCAGCAUUCAUCUUUUGGCACCGGAGCUGCGGAAGAAGCCCAGGAGCUCAUUCUCGAUGAGCGCGUUGUAGAUAAUCUUCAGAUUGUAAUUCCUCUGCGCGUCCAGUGUCCUAUUCAGCACCACCACUAAGACCUGGGUUUGCGGGUAGAGGAAAAAACCGGCUACAGGGACAGCCCCGAACGCCCGGUCCUCGGCCAGCUGCACUUUCUCCACCGCCACUCGGGAAGCGUGCAGCACUACGUAGCGGGUGGCGUUCCGGCACGCGAUCUCCACGUUGACCUCCCCGGAGAAGGUGAAGUUCUCCAUGAAGGCGGUGAGCAUCAGAUUGUAGUGCAGCGGCUUCAGGUGGCCCGACAGGCGCAGCUGCGUCCACGGCUCCCACGGCUCCCGCUCCUCCUCCGACGGCGGCUGGGCCGACGUGGUCCCCGGACUGGCCACCCCACCCGCCUCGGGCUGCCAGGAGUCCCCGCCUGCGUGGUGGUUGCGCCGGGCCGAUCCAGGGAGGCUCCCGUUGCCGCCGCGCUCCGGAAAGCCUGAGGGGCCACCGUCGGCGCCUGGCGUGGCACUCGCCCCGCACUCGUCGAAGCGCAGGCUGAGCAGCACAGCGAGCAUUGUGACCGCGAGCAAUGCCACGAGGGACACAGCGAAGGCCAGCACAAGCCGCUUGUGUACGGCGAUGUGGCGCUCCGUGGUGCGGGGUCGCACUCCCACUGAGUCUGCCCACGGGUCGGAGAGCCCCCUGCUGCCAGCCCGAAGCGCGGCGUCGUCUUCCCCCAUCGCGGCUGCGAAGGCGGCGGCGUUCGGUCCUCUGGGUGGAAUGUGCUCGCAGCAGCAGUGACGGCGGCCACAGCACGGGAGGCACCCGAGCCAUACACCCUGCAGCUGGAGAGAAAAGGAUGGCCGAGGUGGGAGAGACUAGAGUGAACCAGCAGGAGGAAGUCCCAGGGCCGCGAAGCUACGACGGAGAUCCGUCCUGGAAAAGCCUUCUCCACCCUGGGCACUUUAAGCGGCGGUGGCGGCAAACGGCAGGAGGUUGCAGACCCGACAGCGAGACUCCCUCAUUCCAGUCUUGCUCUGCCCUCCGGAGAUGACAAGUGAGAAAGAAGUGUCCGGCCGGGCCAUCCCCUUCAGAGAAGCAACCACUUCACAAGAAGAUUCUGAAGUUGGCCAUUUUUGAUCCCAGAACAGUUUCUCAUAGAUUAGAAAUAUUGGAGUCUACACAAAAAUCGAUAUUCAUUUACAAGAUCAUCACUAAACUUAUCUUGCAUAACCCUUUGCCUGCUACUGCCAACCUGAGAGGGGAGCUUCUGCUCUGCAGAUGGAUGGACAGCUGCUGAUCUUCACCUCCUGUCUGUUCCCACAAUUCUAAAAGAAUUAGGCCUGAGGAACUUAAUCUUCUGGUGUUCCAUUGUGAACUGACUUUAUUAAAUUUUUUCCAAAGUUCAGUGUUCUUCAGUUCUUUCUCAGAGUACAAAUUGAAGAGACACAGAGCCAGUUCCAAAUGAACUGAAAUUGUUUUGUAAAAAAUUAAUUCAAACAAUAAUGCCAUGGAAAAGCACUUUGAAUUUUUCAAUUCCCAGGCUAUUGAUUCUAAAAAAGAAACAAUUCUAAAUUAUCCACAUGUUCUCAUUUAUUAGUCUAGAGCUCUUGCCCAAAGAAUUAUUUGCCAAGGUAAUAUAUAGAACAUCAGGAUGAUUUACUUGCUUUUCUAAUACCAUUUUGCCCACAAACUCUAUGGAACUGAAAGCAUGUCAGCAGCAAAAGAAGGUCCACUAGCAGCUAUAAAAGAGAGCUUACUAAUGAACAAUAAAUAUCUAAAAGUAAAGGGAAAGGAG